Anser cygnoides (Swan goose) is the source of this 1590-nucleotide long non-coding RNA. NCBI's taxonomy places the organism in Eukaryota, Metazoa, Chordata, Aves, Anseriformes, Anatidae. The record is from Ensembl.
AUCAUCCAGUUUCCAGCCUUGGUGGGAACAGCUGUGUGAGUGACAGAGUAUGUUUAGAGCUUGUUAAAUGCAUAAGCAUCCCAUGAAGUCAAACAAAACAUACAGUGCAAUGCAGUGGGAAUUAGGCUGUGUCCAAGAAGCUGGAUCUCAUAGUCCUUGCCUUCUUAACCACAGAUCAGCUGGGCCCUAAAUGUUGUGCUUUGAGCAGCAGCCUCAGUAACUGGGUGGUAGUUCUGUAACUGGGCUGAGUUUGCAAGUAAUGAGGUCAAAGUCUCUGUCUCAUAGGAGGCACAGAUUGUGGAGGACUGAAAAAACGUGUCCCCAGUAUUUCAGGAGCAGAAAUCAGUAUUGCUUUCCUGCUUCCUCUGUCAGGAUCCAGCUGAUUAUCUGUGGCAUGUCCUGCACUGUCUUUUUUUUUUUUUUUUUUUUUAAGGUGAGCAUUGUAGCCUCUGAAACAGGCCCUGGAGUAAAGAAGUGUCCCUGGAGAGCAACCCAGUUUCCUGAUCCAAGGCUGUUUUUUACCAGGUGAAUCCCCUCCUUCACUUUCGGCAGGCUGCCACUCUUCUUGUGCAGCUAUUUGCUUUUAGGUGGCAGGCUUCAAAGCAGCUUAAUGACUGCCAACGGCCACAUUUUAUGCAUUUGUUUUAACUUUCUUGUUUUGGCUGGCAAUUGUUAAAUACUAGGGGCUCUGAAUGUCUACUCAGGUUCACCCCAUUCAGUAAAGACAAAUACAAAACUACAUUUGCAUCAAGGAGUUUAAUCAAGGCUAAAUAAGUAUGCCCUCACUAAUGAGAGGUGAACUGCUGCUGUUGGAGGGCACCUUUCCUCCAAAUUACCUUUGAGCAAGUAGUGAUUUUUUGGGCUGUAUGAUCCGUUUGGAAGGAACCGGUAACUAAGGAUGGACCUCCCUAUGGUGAGGCUCCAGCCUGAAAGCAGGAGGUCUGGUGUUGCCAUUCACAGAUGUAGGUCCCCAUAUUACCCUUUGUGCUCCCUGGGAGUGAGUCUCUCUCCUUAAGUCCAUAUUUAUAAUUCCAGUUGUGACUAGGUGCACAGGAAGACACAGUACACAGGGUGAGAAUGCCCACAGGGUCACAUCCUGUGGAAAUUCAUGCACACACUCAACCAUCUACACUGGGAGACAAACAACUCUCUGGUCCCUUGUCCACGCUCCACAUCAGGGACUUGCCCUUGUUCCCCACAAGGGCCCCUUGGUGGAUGACCUCCCACGCUACGGUCAUAGGGGGGAAUAUAGAGUCUCCAGAAGUCCUCUGGUGUCAAAGUCUGGUGUCAAGCCAGACAGUAGAAACCGGCUGCAGGUGACUGCUGCCACAGCUCUUCCUGCAAGAAGUGAUGUGCUGCUGGGAACACAUGGCAUGAUCGGAGAGUGACUCAGCUCCAGGAAGACACUCUCAGAGGAGGUGACUGGACGCCUUCCUGGAGGAUGUACGUUAGUCAGGGGAAAGCCUUUGGUCUCAAGGCAGGUGAUGCAAUUAUCUACCUUUCGCCAUGCAGGAAAUCAGAUGAUUGAAUGUUUCCUUCUACUUUUACCAUCAAUGAAUCAAUAAAUGAUGCAACUGAAAUAUUCUCGCA